UACGUAGGGUGCAAGCGUUGUCCGGAAUUAUUGGGCGUAAAGAGCUUGUAGGCGGUUUGUCGCGUCUGCUGUGAAAUUUCGGGGCUCAACCCCGAACUUGCAGUGGGUACGGGCAGACUAGAGUGUGGUAGGGGAGACUGGAAUUCCUGGUGUAGCGGUGAAAUGCGCAGAUAUCAGGAGGAACACCGGUGGUGUAGACGGCUCUCUGGACCGUAACUGACGCUGAGACGCGAAAGCGUGGGGAGCAAACAGG
This 253-nucleotide ribosomal RNA is filed under the name uncultured bacterium. RNAcentral describes it as "partial 16S ribosomal RNA". It matches the Rfam family "Bacterial small subunit ribosomal RNA", at positions 524 to 776 of the family's 1533-position model. The record is from RNAcentral.